RNAcentral lists this ribosomal RNA (396 nucleotides) under Dichaetophora heterochroma. RNAcentral's name for it is "partial 28S ribosomal RNA". It matches the Rfam family "Eukaryotic large subunit ribosomal RNA", at positions 1554 to 1871 of the family's 3401-position model. The record is from RNAcentral. Lineage: Eukaryota; Metazoa; Arthropoda; Insecta; Diptera; Drosophilidae.
AGGCGAAAGCCGAAAAUUUUCAAGUAAAAUUUAUUAAUAUAUAUAUAUAUAUAUAUAUGUAUGUAUAAAACACUUGAAUAAUUUUGAACGAAAGGGAAUACGGUUCCAAUUCCGUAACCUGUUGAGUAUCCGUUUGUUAUUAAAUAUGGGCCUCGUGCUCAUCCUGGCAACAGGAACGACCAUAAAGAAGCCGUCGAGAGAUAUCGGAAGAGUUUUCUUUUCUGUUUUAUAGCCGUACUACCAUGGAAGUCUUUCGCAGAGAGAUAUGGUAGAUGGGCUAGAAGAGCAUGACAUAUACUGUUGUGUCGAUAUUUUCUCCUCGGACCUUGAAAAUUUAUGGUGGGGAUACGCAAACUUCUCAACAGGCCGUACCAAUAUCCGCAGCUGGUCUCCAAG